This 559-nucleotide ribosomal RNA is filed under the name uncultured Glomus. Its description in RNAcentral is "SSU rRNA". It matches the Rfam family "Eukaryotic small subunit ribosomal RNA", at positions 546 to 1106 of the family's 1831-position model. Lineage: Eukaryota; Fungi; Glomeromycota; Glomeromycetes; Glomerales; Glomeraceae. The record is from RNAcentral.
AAUUGGAGGGCAAGUCUGGUGCCAGCAGCCGCGGUAAUUCCAGCUCCAAUAGCGUAUAUUAAAGUUGUUGCAGUUAAAAAGCUCGUAGUUGAAUUUCGGGAUCAAUAUUUCGGUCAUGCCGUUGGUAUGCACUGUUAUCAUUGAUUCUCACCUUCUAAAGAACCGUAAUGCCAUUAAUUUGGUGUUACGGGGAAUUAGGACUGUUACCUUGAAAAAAUUAGAGUGUUUAAAGCAGGCUCACGCUUGAAUACAUUAGCAUGGAAUAAUGAAAUAGGACAUCCGAUUCUAUUUUGUUGGUUUCUAGGAUCGAUGUAAUGAUUAAUAGGGAUAGUUGGGGGCAUUAGUAUUCAAUUGUCAGAGGUGAAAUUCUUGGAUUUAUUGAAGACUAACUACUGCGAAAGCAUUUGCCAAGGAUGUUUUCAUUAAUCAAGAACGAAAGUUAGGGGAUCGAAGACGAUCAGAUACCGUCGUAGUCUUAACCAUAAACUAUGCCGACUAGGGAUCGGAUGAUGUUAAUUUUUUAAUGACUCAUUCGGCGCCUUACGGGAAACCAAAGUGU